GUAAAGCAUUACCUUCAGACACGUUCAGCAAAAGAGAAGUUAUGAAGGAUACCAGACAUACAUAAAGAUCUACCAAAUAUGGAUGAAUUCCAUAAGACAGAAGAGAGCCAGA
RNAcentral lists this long non-coding RNA (112 nucleotides) under Fukomys damarensis (Damara mole-rat). RNAcentral describes it as "lncRNA (ENSFDAG00000028969.1)". Lineage: Eukaryota; Metazoa; Chordata; Mammalia; Rodentia; Bathyergidae. The record is from RNAcentral.